UCGAAGACGAUCAGAUACCGUCGUAGUCCUAACUAUAAACGAUGUCAACCAAGGAUUGGAUGAAAUUCAGAUGUACAAAGAUGAAGAAACAUUGUUUCUAAAUCCAAGUAUAUCAAUACUACCUUGUUCAGAACUUAAAGAGAAAUCUUGAGUUUAUGGACUUCAGGGGGAGUAUGGUCACAAGGCUGAAACUUAAAGGAAUUGACGGAAGGGCACACCAGGAGUGGAGCCUGCGGCUUAAUUUGACUCAACACGGGAAAACUUACCAAGACCGAACAGUAGAAGGAAUGACAGAUUAAGAGUUCUUUCAUGAUUUAUUGGGUAGUGGUGCAUGGCCGUUCUUAGUUGGUGGA
RNAcentral lists this ribosomal RNA (353 nucleotides) under Entamoeba dispar. Its description in RNAcentral is "SSU rRNA". It matches the Rfam family "Eukaryotic small subunit ribosomal RNA", at positions 998 to 1305 of the family's 1831-position model. Lineage: Eukaryota; Evosea; Mastigamoebida; Endamoebidae. The record is from RNAcentral.